AGCAGCCGCGGUAAUUCCAGCUCCAAUAGCGUAUAUUAAAGUUGUUGCAGUUAAAAAGUUCGUAGUUGAAUUUCGGGGUUAGUAGGUUGGUCAUGCCACUGGUAUGUACUGGUCUCACUGAUUCCUCCUUCCUGAUGAACCGUAAUGCCAUUAAUUUGGUGUUGCGGGGAGACUGGACUGUUACUUUGAAAAAAUUAGAGUGUUUAAAGCAGGCUAACGCUUGAAUACAUUAGCAUGGAAUAAUGAAAUAGGACGUUCGAUCCUAUUUUGUUGGUUUCUAGGAUUGACGUAAUGAUUAAUAGGGAUAGUUGGGGGCAUUAGUAUUCAAUUGUCAGAGGUGAAAUUCUUGGAUUUAUUGAAGACUAACUACUGCGAAAGCAUUUGCCAAGGAUGUUUUCAUUAAUCAAGAACGAAAGUUAGGGGAUCGAAGACGAUCAGAUACCGUCGUAGUCUUAACCAUAAACUAUGCCGACUAGGGAUCGGAUGAUGUUAAUUUUUAAUGACUCAUUCGGCGCCUUAC
Molecule: ribosomal RNA, 520 nt
Filed under: uncultured Glomus
Lineage: Eukaryota; Fungi; Glomeromycota; Glomeromycetes; Glomerales; Glomeraceae
Description: SSU rRNA
Rfam family: Eukaryotic small subunit ribosomal RNA
Source: RNAcentral